UACGUAGGGUGCAAGCGUUGUCCGGAAUUAUUGGGCGUAAAGAGCUUGUAGGCGGUUUGUCGCGUCUGCUGUGAAAUUUCGGGGCUCAACCCCGAACUUGCAGUGGGUACGGGCAGACUAGAGUGUGGUAGGGGAGACUGGAAUUCCUGGUGUAGCGGUGAAAUGCGCAGAUAUCAGGAGGAACACCGAUGGCGAAGGCAGGUCUCUGGGCUAUAACUGACGCUCAUGCACGAAAGCGUGGGGAGCAAACAGG
Molecule: ribosomal RNA, 253 nt
Filed under: uncultured bacterium
Lineage: Bacteria
Description: partial 16S ribosomal RNA
Rfam family: Bacterial small subunit ribosomal RNA
Source: RNAcentral